RNAcentral lists this ribosomal RNA (427 nucleotides) under uncultured bacterium. Its description in RNAcentral is "partial 16S ribosomal RNA". It matches the Rfam family "Bacterial small subunit ribosomal RNA", at positions 355 to 774 of the family's 1533-position model. The record is from RNAcentral.
UGGGGAAUAUUGCACAAUGGGCGCAAGCCUGAUGCAGCCAUGCCGCGUGUAUGAAGAAGGCCUUCGGGUUGUAAAGUACUUUCAGCGAGGAGGAAGGCGUUGUGGUUAAUAACCGCAACGAUUGACGUUACUUGCAGAAGAAGCACCGGCUAACUCCGUGCCAGCAGCCGCGGUAAUACGGAGGGUGCAAGCGUUAAUCGGAAUUACUGGGCGUAAAGCGCACGCAGGCGGUCUGUCAAGUCGGAUGUGAAAUCCCCGGGCUCAACCUGGGAACUGCAUCCGAAACUGGCAGGCUAGAGUCUUGUAGAGGGGGGUAGAAUUCCAGGUGUAGCGGUGAAAUGCGUAGAGAUCUGGAGGAAUACCGGUGGCGAAGGCGGCCCCCUGGACAAAGACUGACGCUCAGGUGCGAAAGCGUGGGGAGCAAACA